RNAcentral lists this long non-coding RNA (578 nucleotides) under Equus asinus (donkey). RNAcentral's name for it is "lncRNA (ENSEASG00005035008.1, ENSEASG00020034172.1)". Lineage: Eukaryota; Metazoa; Chordata; Mammalia; Perissodactyla; Equidae. The record is from RNAcentral.
AUAGCCCAUUGCAGAGGCUUUUCAGUAGGUGGCAGGGUCAGGAGGAAGUUCAGCUUUGGAUAUGUUGUAUGUGAGGUGCUGCUGGAACACCCAGAAGUCACUUGGAAACUCAAGCUAGAGAUAUAGAUUUGGGAUUGAUCCAAGAGGGAGGCUAACGUCUACAGCUUAUCAUUUCCAGUCAGUGGUUGUUAAUUUUCUUCAGAUCAUGACUAUGUGACUUGUGGACUGAAGAGCUAGCCGCAAAGUUCGAACUUCCUGCAAUUACUGAACUGAACUGAACCAUGGUAAAUGAAAGGUGAACUGAGAUGUUGGAGGACUGGGUUAUUUAACUAAACCAUGGUAACUGGAAAUCGUGCAUGUCAGAACCAUGCAAAGUGAGGCCUGUGUGUACAUGAUGCAGUUCAGCACUGUUCUGGAGACUGGAAGUCCAAGAUCAAGAUGCCAGGAGGGUUCAUUUUGUUCACGCUGCACCAUCUAUCAGUGGUACAAGUGUAUGCGGACGGACUUCUGGUUCUGCUCCAGCUGUGCACCAAGUGCACAGUCCCUCAGUGAUCUCACAGAUCCCAGCCCAGGCCCAG